AGAAAUUUAACUAGGCACAAAAUCUCCAAAGUUAAGCCUACAGAUGCCUCCGUGGCAUUUCACAUAUACUAUUGCUAAUACCCCAUGUAGAUGUGUAUAGACUUCUGGUUGAAUGUCAACUGUCAAGAGGACUGAGGACUAAAAGUUAAUUCUCAGGAUCGCCAUGGAAACACCCCAAUGAUUUGAACAGGACAGUUCCAACAUUAGAAACUUGGAAGUACGAGUGGGGGGUUUUACAAGGAUGAGAGAGACCAACCCCUCAACGUGUAGCCCAAAGCCCAAUGAUCUAUAGAGA
RNAcentral lists this unclassified non-coding RNA (295 nucleotides) under Hevea brasiliensis (rubber tree). Lineage: Eukaryota; Viridiplantae; Streptophyta; Magnoliopsida; Malpighiales; Euphorbiaceae. The record is from RNAcentral.